GAGUUUGAUCGUGGCUCAGAUUGAACGCUGGCGGCAUGCCUUACACAUGCAAGUCGAACGGCAGCACGGGAGCUUGCUCCUGGUGGCGAGUGGCGAACGGGUGAGUAAUGCAUCGGAACGUAUCCUGGAGUGGGGGAUAACGUAGCGAAAGUUACGCUAAUACCGCAUAUUCUGUGAGCAGGAAAGCGGGGGACCUUCGGGCCUCGCGCUCUUGGAGCGGCCGAUGUCGGAUUAGCUAGUUGGUGAGGUAAAGGCUCACCAAGGCGACGAUCCGUAGCAGGUCUGAGAGGAUGAUCUGCCACACUGGAACUGAGACACGGUCCAGACUCCUACGGGAGGCAGCAGUGGGAAUUUGGACAAUGGGGCAACCCUGAUCCAGCCAUGCCGCGUGAGUGAAGAAGGCCUUCGG
RNAcentral lists this ribosomal RNA (409 nucleotides) under bacterium enrichment culture clone ALO1_GLFRUDD03GKU0U. Its description in RNAcentral is "bacterial SSU rRNA". It matches the Rfam family "Bacterial small subunit ribosomal RNA", at positions 9 to 421 of the family's 1533-position model. The record is from RNAcentral.